CUGAUUUUCUGUUCAGAGCUGACCUACCUUCUUUAUAUACACCCCUGUACAGUUUAGAGGUUUAAUGGCUCAGGACACCUUCAUCUCACCCACAAAUAGAGGCUGUUGAGUCAGGGGAUCCACAGUUAUUUCAACUUCAAAGAUUUUACCAAGAAAUCCACUGCAACUCAGAAAAACUGGCAAAGUCAUCAGGUCACCAACAGCUUAAAGCUUUAUUGAACUUACAAAAUCCAAGGUCUAAAAGUACAUUUCACAUUGCCAUCAUUUUUUGGUACAAAUUUUUUCUAAGUUCGCUUACAAUCACCUUUAGGCCUAACGAAUCCGGUAUCAAGUAUCGUUUUUAGAGCGCACAGUGGGCACAAGUUACCCGUCUUUCCUCCCACCCCCAUAGAAGCCAGCUGCCUCAGCCAAGAGACCGGUGUUUCCCAGAACAAUGGGAAUUUUCAGUCCACGAAGGGCGCUUGCAAAGAACGGGACAGAACGACGUAAAGCAGCAGGGCGCGUCCCAGGCUGGUGCGUAAUGGAGACUGCACUCGGUGCGCGCUCCUGUUACAAUUUCCCCCACCGAGGACAGAAAAAAAAAAAAAAAUAAUAAUAAUCUUUGGUGAAAUCCAAACGCGUUUGAUUAGAAGGGAUCAUUUUAAAGGACUGCUCUUGGAAUAGGCUACCGCUGCGGCCCCAGUCCACCCGUGUUGGCCGUUAUGUGUCCGGUUAGAGCCGUCCGCUCGUUAGGACCAGUCGUGGAGCAGAGAAGCCGCCAGAGCCAGCGGGAGCAGCAGCGUGCAGGACGCGGUGCUGCCGGAGCCGUUGUCCGGUGACACCGAGGUUGCGUUGGUGGAGUUCACGGACAUCGUGCUGCUUGACACAGUCGCGUCCGCGGUCGUCACGGCAUCGGUCUGCGCCCGAACCACCUGCAACACAUAAGACCCCAUCAGCUCAUUCUUUACCAUGGCCUAGAGGAGCAUUUCUCUGGAACACAAUUCAAGGACGAAAACUACAGUCAAGCCCGAAAUUAUUCAUACCCCUAACAAAUUCUGACUUUGAGUUACUUUCAUUCAACAAACAAGUUUUUUUGUUUGUUUGGUUUUUUUUUUUUUAAGAUUGGAAAUGAUACAAGUGUUUCCCAAAAGAUAACAUGAUGUACAAGAGGCAUCGCUGUGGAAAUAAUUUCUCAGCUUUUAUUUACAUUUGAAAGUAACUUUAAGUUUAAAAUUGCUAAAUAAUUUCGGGCUUGACUUUAGAUACCAGAGGAGCAGCUUGUUAGACCAUCUAGAGUCAAACAAGAAGCACCAUCAUCUCAUUACGUGCACGUUUAGUUUGAUCUUCCAGGUGACCCAGUGGGCUGUAAAAUGAUCAUGUAGCUCAGAAUUUGGUUUGCCUGAUUCUGAGGAACAAAAAAAAAAAAAAAAAAUCCCCGGUGCAGGCUUGAGUCACUUCCCUAAACGUCUCCUGAAGUACAAAGUGAACAAUGAGGGUUGGGCGAGGCUCUCUUUUGCACCCCAAGGUCCCUGCUGCAGAUUACAUGACUUCAAAACCACCACCCAACUCGAAAGAGGUUAUUAAGUUACAGUGAUGCGAGGAGGAAGCAAACCUGUGAGGAGAGAUGCAGAGCCAGCAGGAGAACUCCGAGGUACGCGAUGCACAUCUUCUUCAUGGUUCCGUCUGCUGGAUCACUGCCUGGCUCAGAUUAGUGAACAGCAAAUCACAGCCAUGAAGGUGAUGGAAAAAAAUGACUACCAAUCCUUGCAGUCCAUUUAUGAAGGAACUAUUCGUAGGCAAGCCCAGAGGACAGUGACUGAACUGUCACAUAUCCUCACUUGGAAUACAAGCUCCUACCCUCGGGCAGACGAUAUAGAGUCCCCAACUGCAGACUCAAC
Molecule: long non-coding RNA, 1877 nt
Organism: Amphiprion ocellaris (clown anemonefish)
Lineage: Eukaryota; Metazoa; Chordata; Actinopteri; Pomacentridae
Source: Ensembl